ACCCGUUCAACGUCUGCAGUGGUCUUGACGCAGUCGUGUUGUUGUUGGUGCAGCAAGCAAUGCUUCCACCAAUGUUCCUGACCCAAUUUGGCGGGCGGGUUUUCUGCGUUGGACUGCACGUUGCCAGGUUCCCUCUCGCACUGCAUUAUCUACCAGUGCUGUUGUGGUGAGUCGCCGUGGCGCGUGCGCGAAGCCUGGAUCGAUGGGCUGCGUCAGUUUCUGAUCGCAGUUCGGCGUGUUCUCAAGUUCAGCCGCCUCUCGGACUCGAGCUGGAGCUUCGAAGCCCUCGGAAUACUACUUAUGGAGAAACGUGCCUCGAUUUUCGAUGUCUACUAUCACCUGCAUGGCUCUCGAGUCUUGCCGAUGGCGGCGAAGCUCAGUGAAGUUAGAAGAGAGAAAUGGGUGCAAUGGAUUGCUGGGAAUGGAAUGGAUGAGGCAGAUUGGCAGGUUGCGAAGCAAGUAGGAGAGCAUUUUUCUUCUCCCAUGCUGUGUUGUGAAUUGCCUCUAUGGUGGGUGAAUGAGUGGUUUCAAGACUGGCUGUUGAAGCUGAAAUUUAAGCUUCGAAGUGACCCUACCGCCGUUGUCGAAGAAGUAAGCCUCUACUACAACUAAAGGAGAAGCUGGUGGACAUGGAUUUGCAAGUGUCGGUGCCGCGGCAGCUGCCUCCAUUUGCGAGGGAGCUUCAAUAUGAAAGGCCCUGGAAAUUGAUGGAGGAUAUUAUGGAUUUUUCUGCGCACACAAUUUUGCACACCUUUAUGGGUAACGAGGAGCAAGUAUAAUAGUGCGCAAAAUAUGGUGCGCACUUCUCCUUCUCCGGUUACAAUUCUACGCUUGGGCGCGAGAGACCGUAGCGGAUAUGACGUUCGGUGGCCUCGUCCACGCUGCUAGUACAAAUAGAUUGCUCUGGUGACUUGCCUCGCUUAGAUCCAUGCUACUUGUCUCGGUUGCCGGUGAUCUUGUUGCACCUCCGGAAUCAAAGUGUGGUGAAGAUGAGAACAAAAGCUACAACGCUGGGAAAUGCGAGAUUGGAAAGGCAGCAUUCGACCAGUCUGCUAAAACCCGAACGCCCUUCAUAUGUGUGGCAUAAUUGCAUGAGACAUCUGAAGAAGAGCUGGCAAAUCGCAUGUUCAUAAAUUUUGAGUCCUUGUUCUACUUUCCAGGGUCUAAACUUCGGAACUACGUUUCGUGUCAGGUCCGUGCAGUCUUUGGAUUCAAAAGUAAAAAAAUGUAUCUAAAAUACUAAAAGAAUUUUUUUUUAAAACUCUUUCCAUUUCAAAGCCAGAAUAACUACUCUGCGGAAGAUCUUGGAUAAAAAUCCUCGACACAAAAAUCAUUAUUUUCAGAGUGAGUAAUCAUAGCCUCAAAAGUUUAAAUAUGAAAUUCAGUUUCUGUCGUUACAACAUCAUAGAUCAGAAGCUGAAUCUGAGUGAUUACGUCGUAUCCUCCAACGAUGCGCAUAUGAUAUCAUCACCUUUGAUAUUCCAGUGUUCCUCAUGUUUGCUCAGAUAAUAGAUAAUUGCCUAAUGACUGAUUGCAUCCUUUCCAGCAAUCUUAGGGAAAAUGAUAAGUGAGUAACCUGGACAGGUCUUCUGGAUCCUCGAUCUGGUGACUAGUAGUUUAGUUUCGCACAUAACUUAAUGUUGAAUUCUAUAUGUAAUCGGCAAAAGUAGGAUUUUUUCAGGGUGUGGGCCAUAUUCUGAAUUUUUUCAUGUGCGAUGUUGCAGAACUCGUCAUCGGCUAGUAAUUUGCUAACUCAUUUUUCGAGGAAUGCUGGCCACUAGAUGUGUUUAUUCUCUACUUCACUUGGUAGAUGUAAUCAUAAAGACCGUUCGCUCUACAGGUUUGACUUUGAUUGCAGAGCUGUGAAGGCCUAUAGUCUCAACGCCAAUCUUUGUGGAGCGUGGGAUUAUCCCGAAGAUAGCAUGAGAGCUUUUCCGAGAUUCUUCUGUUGUAGCUUUUUGGUGGGGGCACACACUCCCCAUGAACAGCACAGCCAGUUGUUCAGCGUGUCCAGAUCUGAGAAAAAACGCCACAGCAAAACAUAACAAAUGCAACAUCUGGAUGUGCUAUCCCUAAGAAGAGAAGCUUAAAGAGGGUCUUGCUUGCAAAUAUGUUCGCACACAAACUGCCCCACUCGGAAGCCCACUUCACCGGGUGUAUUCCUUUGUGCCAUUGCCAAGUCAGCUCCCCCAUUUUAAAAGCACGCCUGCUGUCUAAGCUGGCGUGGAGUUUUCCUUGA
Non-coding RNA from Physcomitrium patens, 2239 nucleotides. NCBI's taxonomy places the organism in Eukaryota, Viridiplantae, Streptophyta, Bryopsida, Funariales, Funariaceae. The record is from RefSeq and is a predicted model, not a curated record.